Long non-coding RNA from Erigeron canadensis, 673 nucleotides. RefSeq lists it as uncharacterized. NCBI's taxonomy places the organism in Eukaryota, Viridiplantae, Streptophyta, Magnoliopsida, Asterales, Asteraceae. The record is from RefSeq and is a predicted model, not a curated record. The transcript is spliced from 3 exons.
UUAGUCUUAACGAAUAGCGGGUAUCUUAGUCACUAAAAUUAGAAAAGGGGCGUGGCAUUCCCUUAGGUUGCCAGCCACAUUCCCACCUAUUCUUGAACCCAAUUUCUCCAUCAUGUAUUCAUCUUUCUUGAUUCUUCUCUUCCAAUCUAAAUCAAAUCAAUUUCUUCCAAACAAUUCAAGAAUUCCUCUAAGAAUGUAAUAAUAAUCUUCAAUCAUCAAAAUUAAAAAGCUAGAGUUUAUGUUUGGGGGUGGGGCUGGCCAAAUUCCAAGAGAGAAAAGGGAGAAAGAGGAUAUUUUAAUUCAAGACUAAUUCCUUGAGUUCUUGAGGUUGAUUGCAAAUACGUUGUUUUAUGGUCAUCUUGCAAUUGUGGUCGCAAAUAAGGUUGUCCCGGAUGCGGAAGAAAGUUAAGUAAUGUAAAGAUUGAAGUUAAAGUUGCUUUAUGGAUAUUGGUUGCUUUAGCUAAAUGCGGAUAAGGGUAACGUUAAUAGGACCCGUAGAGACCCUUUUGAACUUUGGCUCAUGAUACAUUGAUUGGUUACUUCUAUCGAGUCAUUUUGUAUUAGAAAUGUGUUGGAUUGUGUUUGAAAUGUACCUUUGGAAAACUCUUAAUUCGUAACAGGUUUUAACGAUGAUUUUACGAAUGGGUCAUGCCGAAAUUUCUAACUUUUGGUA